UGAGGGGAACCGCCUGAACUGAAACAUCUAAGUAGGGCGAGGAAGAGAAAUCAACUGAGAUUCCGUAAGUAGUGGCGAGCGAACGCGGAAGAGGCCAAACCUAAUGUAGUAAUAUGUUAGGGGUUCGGACAGUAUAAUGAAUUGUCGAGAUUUAGCCGAAUGUCAUGGGAAGGGCAAUCAAAGAAGGUGAAAAUCCUGUAGGCGAAAAGUUAAGACAUCAGACUGUAUCCAGAGUACCGCCGGACACGUGAAACCCGGUGGGAAUACGGGGGGACCAUCCUCCAAGCCUAAAUACUACUCGGUGACCGAUAGAGAAGAAGUACUGUGAAGGAAAGGUGAAAAGCACCCCGGAAGGGGAGUGAAAGAGAACCUGAAACCUUGUGUUUACAAGCACCGAAAGUUCAUCAACGAACGAUCGGGUACCUUUUGUAGAAUGGUCCGGCGAGUGAAUGUAACUGGCAAGGUUAAGCACUUAAGGUGUGAAGCCGUAGCGAGAGCGAGUCUGAAAAGGGCGCAUGAAGUCAGUUGUAUUCGACCCGAAACCGGGUGACCUACCCAUGUCCAGGCUGAAGUGCAGGUAAAACUUCAUGGAGGGCCGAACCGACUCCCGUUGAAAUGGUAGCGGAUGAGGUGUGGGUAGCGGAGAAAUUCCAAUCGAACCCGGAGAUAGCUGGUUCUCUCCGAAAUAGCUUUAGGGCUAGCCUUGGAAUAGAUUACUGGAGGUAAAGCACUGAAUUGGCUAGGGGCCGAGAGGUUACUGAACCUUAUCAAACUAAGAAUGCCAGAUAAUCGUUUUCCAGGAGUCAGACAGUGGGAGAUAAGUUUCAUUGUCAAAAGGGAAACAGCCCAGACCUACAGCUAAGGUCCCAAAUGUAUGCUAAGUGGAAAACGAUGUGGAGUUGCGAAAACAACCAGGAUGUUGGCUUAGAAGCAGCCACUCAUUAAAAGAGUGCGUAAUAGCUCACUGGUCGAGUGAUUCUGCGCCGAAAAUUUAACGGGGCUAAACUAUACACCGAAGCUUAGGAUACCGCAAGGUAUGGUAGGAGAGCGUUCUGUACGGAGUGAAGUCGUAGCGAAAGCGGCGGUGGACUGUACAGAAGUGAGAAUGCCGGAAUAAGUAGCGAGAAUUAAGUGAGAAUCUUAAUGGCCGAAAGUCUAAGGUUUUUGGAGGAAGGUUCGUCCGCUCCAAGUAAGUCGGGAGCUAAGGUCAGGCCGAAAGGCGUAGCCGAUGCACAAACGGUUGAUAUUCCGUUACCGUCUACAAUUUAAACAAAGGGACACAUACAAAGCGUUUAACCCGGGCGAUGGUUGACCCGGGCGCAAGGGACUGAAAUUAGAGUAGGGAAGUAAAUGUGGCGUAUGGCGAGAAAAGCUUUGUGUAUAGAAGUAGAUGCCCGUACCGCAAACCGACACAGGUGGACAGGAAGAGAAUUCUAAGGCCAGCGGGAGAAGGGUAGUUAAGGAACUCGGCAAAUUGACUCCGUAACUUCGGAAUAAGGAGUGCUCGAAAGAGCCGCAGAGAAUAGGCCCAGGCGACUGUUUAGCAAAAACACAGGUCUCUGCCAAAUCGAAAGAUGAAGUAUAGGGGCUGACACCUGCCCGGUGCCGGAAGGUUAAGAGGAGGAGUGCAAGCUCCGAAUUGAAGCCCCGGUAAACGGCGGCCGUAACUAUAACGGUCCUAAGGUAGCGAAAUUCCUUGUCGGGUAAGUUCCGACCCGCACGAAUGGUGUAACGAUCUGGGCACUGUCUCAACUACCCACCCGGCGAAAUUGUAGUACCGGUGAAGAUGCCGGUUACCUGCGGCAAGACGGAAAGACCCCAUGGAGCUUUACUGUAGCCUGAUAUUGGGUUUCGGAAAUCUAUGUACAGGAUAGGCGGGAGACUGGGAAGUAUGAGCGUCAGCUUAUACGGAGUCAUUGUUGGGAUACCGCCCUUAGGUUUCUGGAAUUCUAACCUGCGACCGUGAAUCCGGUCGGGGGACAUUGUCAGGUGGGCAGUUUGACUGGGGCGGUCGCCUCCGAAAAGGUAACGGAGGCGCUCAAAGGUUGGCUCAGCACGGACGGAAACCGUGCCUCAGAGUGUAAACGCAAAAGCCAGCCUAACUGCGAGGAUGACGGUCCGAGCAGUAACGAAAGUUGGAGUUAGUGAUCCGGCGGUAUGUGAAUGGAAAUGCCGUCGCUCAACGGAUAAAAGCUACCCUGGGGAUAACAGGCUGAUCUCCCCCAA
RNAcentral lists this ribosomal RNA (2226 nucleotides) under human gut metagenome. RNAcentral's name for it is "bacterial LSU rRNA". It matches the Rfam family "Bacterial large subunit ribosomal RNA", at positions 175 to 2495 of the family's 2925-position model. The record is from RNAcentral.